AAAAUGACUCUCGGCAACGGAUAUCUCGGCUCUCGCAUCGAUGAAGAACGUAGCGAAAUGCGAUACUUGGUGUGAAUUGCAGAAUCCCGUGAACCAUCGAGUCUUUGAACGCAAGUUGCGCCCGAAACCUUUAGGUUGAGGGCACGUCUGCCUGGGUGUCACAC
RNAcentral lists this ribosomal RNA (164 nucleotides) under Lotus cytisoides. RNAcentral describes it as "5.8S ribosomal RNA". It matches the Rfam family "5.8S ribosomal RNA". Rfam says of the family: 5.8S ribosomal RNA (5.8S rRNA) is a component of the large subunit of the eukaryotic ribosome. The record is from RNAcentral. Lineage: Eukaryota; Viridiplantae; Streptophyta; Magnoliopsida; Fabales; Fabaceae.